This 497-nucleotide ribosomal RNA is filed under the name uncultured bacterium. RNAcentral describes it as "partial 16S ribosomal RNA". It matches the Rfam family "Bacterial small subunit ribosomal RNA", at positions 28 to 507 of the family's 1533-position model. The record is from RNAcentral.
GAUGAACGCUGGCGGCGUGCCUAAUACAUGCAAGUCGAGCGAACGGACGAGAAGCUUGCUUCUCUGAUGUUAGCGGCGGACGGGUGAGUAACACGUGGAUAACCUACCUAUAAGACUGGGAUAACUUCGGGAAACCGGAGCUAAUACCGGAUGAUAUUUUGAACCGCAUGGUUCAAAAGUGAAAGACGGUCUUGCUGUCACUUAUAGAUGGAUCCGCGCUGCAUCAGCUAGUUGGUAAGGUAACGGCUUACCAAGGCAACGAUGCAUAGCCGACCUGAGAGGGUGAUCGGCCACACUGGAACUGAGACACGGUCCAGACUCCUACGGGAGGCAGCAGUAGGGAAUCUUCCGCAAUGGGCGAAAGCCUGACGGAGCAACGCCGCGUGAGUGAUGAAGGUCUUCGGAUCGUAAAACUCUGUUAUUAGGGAAGAACAUAUGUGUAAGUAACUGUGCACAUCUUGACGUUACCUAAUCAGAAAGCCACGGCUAACUACGUG